This 499-nucleotide ribosomal RNA is filed under the name uncultured bacterium. RNAcentral's name for it is "partial 16S ribosomal RNA". It matches the Rfam family "Bacterial small subunit ribosomal RNA", at positions 28 to 507 of the family's 1533-position model. The record is from RNAcentral.
GACGAACGCUGGCGGCGUGCCUAAUGCAUGCAAGUCGAGCGAAGUUUUUCUGGUGCUUGCACCGGAAAAACUUAGCGGCGAACGGGUGAGUAACACGUAAAGAACCUGCCUUAUAGACUGGGACAACUAUUGGAAACGAUAGCUAAUACCGGAUAACAGCAUUAACUGCAUGGUUGAUGUUUGAAAGUUGGUUUUGCUAACACUAUGAGAUGGCUUUGCGGUGCAUUAGCUAGUUGGUGGGGUAAAGGCCUACCAAGGCGACGAUGCAUAGCCGACCUGAGAGGGUGAUCGGCCACACUGGGACUGAGACACGGCCCAGACUCCUACGGGAGGCAGCAGUAGGGAAUCUUCCGCAAUGGGCGAAAGCCUGACGGAGCAACGCCGCGUGAGUGAAGAAGGAUUUCGGUUCGUAAAGCUCUGUUGUUAGGGAAGAAUGAUUGUGUAGUAACUAUACACAGUAGAGACGGUACCUAACCAGAAAGCCACGGCUAACUACGUG